This 68-nucleotide transfer RNA is filed under the name Marmota monax (woodchuck). RNAcentral's name for it is "tRNA.Ala". The record is from RNAcentral. Lineage: Eukaryota; Metazoa; Chordata; Mammalia; Rodentia; Sciuridae.
AUUGUAGCUCAGUGGUAGAGCAUUUGCCUAGCACAUGUGAGGCACUGAGUUCAAUCCUCAGCACCAUA